GGCGACCGGCAGACGGGUGAGUAACGCGUAUGUAACCUACCCCAUACAGAGGGAUAACCCGGAGAAAUUCGGACUAAUAUCUCAUAAAACCACAGAUGGGCAUCCAUUAAUGGUUAAAGUUCCGGCGGUAUGGGCUGGGCAUGCGUAACAUUAGCUAGUUGGUAGGGUAACGGCCUACCAAGGCUACGAUGUUUAGGGGUCCUGAGAGGGUGGUCCCCCACACUGGUACUGAGACACGGACCAGACUCCUACGGGAGGCAGCAGUGAGGAAUAUUGGUCAAUGGGCGCAAGCCUGAACCAGCCAUCCCGCGUGCAGGAAGACGGCCCUAUGGGUUGUAAACUGCUUUUCCAGGGGACGAAUAGUUUCUAUGUAUAGGGACAUGACGGUACCUUGGGAAUAAGCAUCGGCUAACUCCGUGCCAGCAGCCGCGGUAAUACGGAGGAUGCGAGCGUUAUCCGGAUUCAUUGGGUUUAAAGGGUGCGUAGGCGGACUUAUAAGUCAGUGGUGAAAACCUGCAGCUUAACUGUAGAACUGCCAUUGAUACUGUAAGUCUUGAGUAUGGUCAAGGUAGGCGGAAUGUGUAAUGUAGCGGUGAAAUGCUUAGAUAUUACACAGAACACCAAUUGCGAAGGCAGCUUGCUGGGCCAUUACUGACGCUGAUGCACGAAAGCGUGGGGAGCGAACAGGAUUAGAUACCCUGGUAGUCCACGCCGUAAACGAUGA
RNAcentral lists this ribosomal RNA (724 nucleotides) under uncultured bacterium. RNAcentral's name for it is "bacterial SSU rRNA". It matches the Rfam family "Bacterial small subunit ribosomal RNA", at positions 90 to 812 of the family's 1533-position model. The record is from RNAcentral.